Molecule: long non-coding RNA, 256 nt
Filed under: Medicago truncatula (barrel medic)
Lineage: Eukaryota; Viridiplantae; Streptophyta; Magnoliopsida; Fabales; Fabaceae
Description: long non-coding RNA (MTRU_LNC000797)
Source: RNAcentral
UCUCCUCCUCCUCGCUCUCUCCACCACCACUGUAACCGCUCGUCCGUGCCGCACCUUCAUCAUCUCCUCCUACUCCAUCCGCAACCCAUCCACCAACGCCUUCGCCACCAUCACCGAGAUCCGAUCCAUCUCCCCUCUCUUCAUAAACGACAACACCAAACCCUUCGAAAUCCUCCUCGAUCGCCCCGUUCAACACCAAACCCACUCCCAAAGCGCGUCUCAUCCACGCGGCCCCUUAGGUUUAGGGUUUUCCACC